This 334-nucleotide ribosomal RNA is filed under the name Escherichia coli. Its description in RNAcentral is "partial 23S ribosomal RNA". It matches the Rfam family "Bacterial large subunit ribosomal RNA", at positions 1 to 372 of the family's 2925-position model. The record is from RNAcentral. Lineage: Bacteria; Pseudomonadati; Pseudomonadota; Gammaproteobacteria; Enterobacterales; Enterobacteriaceae.
GUUAAGCGACUAAGCGUACACGGUGGAUGCCCUGGCAGUCAGAGGCGAUGAAGGACGUGCUAAUCUGCGAUAAGCGUCGGUAAGGUGAUAUGAACCGUUAUAACCGGCGAUUUCCGAAUGGGGAAACCCAGUGUGUUUCGACACACUAUCAUUAACUGAAUCCAUAGGUUAAUGAGGCGAACCGGGGGAACUGAAACAUCUAAGUACCCCGAGGAAAAGAAAUCAACCGAGAUUCCCCCAGUAGCGGCGAGCGAACGGGGAGCAGCCCAGAGCCUGAAUCAGUGUGUGUGUUAGUGGAAGCGUCUGGAAAGGCGCGCGAUACAGGGUGACAGCC